UACGAGGGGGGCACGCGUUGUUCGGAAUUAUUGGGUGUCAAGGGCGCGUAGGCGGUGCGGUAAGUCACCUGUGAAAUCUCCGGGCUUAACUCGGAGUCUGCAGGCGAAACUGCCGUGCUGGAGUAUGGGAGAGGUGCGUGGAAUUCCCGGUGUAGCGGUGAAAUGCGUAGAUAUCGGGAGGAAUACCUAUGGCGAAAGCAGGUUUCUGGGCCAUCACUGACGCUGAGCUGCGAAAGCUAGGGGAGCAAACAGG
This 253-nucleotide ribosomal RNA is filed under the name uncultured bacterium. Its description in RNAcentral is "partial 16S ribosomal RNA". It matches the Rfam family "Bacterial small subunit ribosomal RNA", at positions 524 to 776 of the family's 1533-position model. The record is from RNAcentral.